UCCCGGUCUCCACAGCCGGGAUUACUGAAGAGGCACACCUUCUUUGCCUGAAGUGCGGCGGGUCCAAGCCCUCCAAUCCAUGGCAGACCGAUAAGCCGAACGCCGCUGGCCUUUUGUCGCCGGCUUUCGGACCAAUCGCGUCGCGCGAGCCCUGUCUC
This is a regulatory RNA element of Fulvimarina manganoxydans, 158 nucleotides long. It matches the Rfam family "speF leader". From Rfam's summary of the family: This family is a putative regulatory RNA structure that is found upstream of the speF gene encoding ornithine decarboxylase in Agrobacterium tumefaciens and other alpha-proteobacteria. NCBI's taxonomy places the organism in Bacteria, Pseudomonadati, Pseudomonadota, Alphaproteobacteria, Hyphomicrobiales, Aurantimonadaceae. The record is from Rfam.